CCCCUCCCCUUCAUCUUCCCUUUCCCCUAGCCUCCUCUGGUAACUACUCACAAAUACCAGUCCAACACAAUGGGCCAAAAAUUCAGAAUAUUUUAGUCUCCAUCUCUUUUGUUCCAGAAAGCUCCCCUCCUAAUAACUGCUUCCUUUUCUUUACCUUCUCAGUAUACGGCCAGCCCUAUCUUUUAGACACCCCUCGUGAUUGGCCGGAGAUAAAGUGUGCAGUAGCCCCCCAAAAUUUGCGAUCACCCACGAUCCCAGUCUUCCCACCCCCACUCUCCCCACUCCCUCCCUGGCACGUUCUCUCCAGCUAUCCGUUCCGAUCACCCCAUCAUGCCGUCAGGUGCGAAGAAGAGGAAAGCUGCCCGGCGAAAGAAGGAGAUGGGCGUCCACCCACCCGAUUCCUCUACCAGCUCUUCUUCUGGCAACGGCGAGAGCCACGACUCCAAGGGCGAAACCAGUGACGAAGAGGAGGAGAAGAAGGGCGAAUCCCUGAGAUCGGAAACCACCACGGCUGCCGUGAUGGAUAUCUUGGACAACGGUAAAGAGAAAGUAAGUGAGGAGACUGCCAAAGUGACGGAGAAUCCCCCCGAGGAGGAAAAGAAAAAGAUGGUCGAGGAGGAGACGGUGGUCGAGGAUGUGGGUGUGGAGCUGGUCCGGACGAAGGAAGGGGAAGUUGGUGGUGGUGUGGAGCCCAAAGAGGUUGCAGAAGAGAUGGCGGCAACAGUGGCAUCGGAUGUUCUUGUUGAUGAACCGGUUUCUGUAAGUGAGGAGGUUAUAGAAGCUACCGAAGCUGCGGUUGUGACUUCGGAGGCUGCGCUGGUGAUUGAUACUGUAGCACAUGAGACGGAAGUGAAGCCGGCGCCUAUUUUAGACAUUCCGCCGGUUCCGGUUAUUGAGCAGCCUCGGCCUCAUGAGAGUGGUGAGAGAGAGAGAUCUGAGGUUGAUCGUGCGACAUGGUGGAAUUGCUGUGGAUUGUUUCAUGUUCUUGCAACCUCCACAGGUGCUGCCAGGAGCAGAACAAGAUUAAUCCAGCGUCAAGUUGCUUAAAGUUUGAAGUGCAGAUAGUGAGAUGAGAUGGAGCAAGAGCAUGAUUCAAAAAUGGGUUCGACACUAGUAACUUGUGCUUGAAGAUGCAUCAAGAAAGAGCAAUUCAUGGAGAUAUCUAUAUUAACAUUAAGAGGCUUUUUUUGGUAGGUAAUGAAGGUAGAUUACAAAGGUAAUUGGAUGGUCAUCUGAUGUGUGCUCUUAUUGUUCCUGGUUAGCAUGUUCAUGUGAUUAGCUCGUUAACUGUUUGUGGUUUCUUUGUGUUGGCGUCUGUAUUAUAAGUUUUUAUUGGUUUUCUGAUAUAGUCUUGUAGCAUGCCUAAGUAUGUACCCCCCUUAAUUGCCAGCAACCCUAUCUGCUGCAAGGUGUGGAUGUUGAUUGAUCGUUCUUGUUGCCUAGAUAUGCUUGUGAAUGUGUGCAAUACACAUUAAACAUAUUCUUUCGGCAUUUCUUGUUCAUUUUUGUCA
RNA transcript from Elaeis guineensis (African oil palm), 1511 nucleotides. RefSeq lists it as uncharacterized. Lineage: Eukaryota; Viridiplantae; Streptophyta; Magnoliopsida; Arecales; Arecaceae. The record is from RefSeq and is a predicted model, not a curated record.